CACACUUUCUCACUAUGCUCUUGUUUCUCUGGUUUGCAUUCUCUUGCCUUUCACCUUAAGCCUCCUCCUCUGCCUUCCCUUUCAGAUCCUGAAUCCAGAGUCUCCAAUUUGGCAUUGGUUUUGGCUCACUCAUAAGAUCCUGGCUCCCGUGUCCCUCUCCCAAGGAGGAAAGUGCACAGCUGACUGACACGCUGCACUUAGGCCUGAUGCCCCAUGUUUCUGCUGGGUUUAUAAGAGAGGACUGGAGGAAAAGAAUCUUGAUCUGCAGAGUGCCCUGCGUGUGUCCAGUAUUCGACGACCUGGAAGAUGGAUGAGCUGGGAAUCUGAGCGAGAGUAAGACUUUAAAGAAUGUUCUCAAUGUGAUUGAGGCCGAAGAGAAGCAGAUUUCUCACCCCCAUGAGGUAGGGUUCCUUUCUAAUCCCUCUACCACGCACUGUUCUUCAGACCCUAUC
This 452-nucleotide long non-coding RNA is filed under the name Vulpes vulpes (red fox). RNAcentral describes it as "lncRNA (ENSVVUG00000021981.1)". Lineage: Eukaryota; Metazoa; Chordata; Mammalia; Carnivora; Canidae. The record is from RNAcentral.